RNAcentral lists this small RNA (391 nucleotides) under Listeria monocytogenes. RNAcentral's name for it is "rliB". It matches the Rfam family "Listeria sRNA rliB". The record is from RNAcentral. Lineage: Bacteria; Bacillati; Bacillota; Bacilli; Caryophanales; Listeriaceae.
UAGUAGAGUUGCUGUUUUUUGUUAUCUGUCGACCUUGAGUAGCGUGAAAAACACCGGGAAUCGUCAGAAAUAGCUCUUUGAGGUAAGAUGGGAGUAAGAAGAAAAGUUAGCGGGUUUUAGCUACUUAUUUUGAAAUGUAAAUGGACUCCUCAGUCAUGAUGAAGGGAUUACCUUUGAAAGUUUUAGUUACUUAAUGUGAAAUAUAAAUUUGGUUCCUUUGGAAAACAACAAUAGCGUGUAGUAUUGUUUACUUACUCAUUGUGAAUUGUAAAUGCAGAAGUAGCAAAAUAACCAAAAGUAAUGACUUUCAUUUUAAUUGCUUAAGAUGAAAUAUAAAUGAAAACCUAUUAUGCUUAUGAUUAUCUAUUUCCGUUAUAAUUAUUCCUUGCAA